GACGAACGCUGGCGGCGUGCUUAACACAUGCAAGUCGAGCGGAAAGGCCACUUCGGUGGUACUCGAGCGGCGAACGGGUGAGUAACACGUGAGUAAUCUGCCCCUCACUUUGGGAUAGCCACCGGAAACGGUGAUUAAUACCGGAUAUGACCAUAUGUCGCAUGGCGUGUGGUGGAAAGUUUUUCGGUGAGGGAUGUGCUCGCGGCCUAUCAGCUUGAUGGUGAGGUAAUGGCUCACCAUGGCUUCGACGGGUAGCCGGCCUGAGAGGGUGACCGGUCACACUGGGACUGAGACACGGCCCAGACUCCUACGGGAGGCAGCAGUGGGGAAUAUUGGACAAUGGGCGGAAGCCUGAUCCAGCAACGCCGCGUGAGGGAUGACGGCCUUCGGGUUGUAAACCUCUUUCAGUACCGACGAAGCGCAAGUGACGGUAGGUACAGAAGAAGCACCGGCCAACUGCGUG
This 463-nucleotide ribosomal RNA is filed under the name uncultured bacterium. RNAcentral describes it as "partial 16S ribosomal RNA". It matches the Rfam family "Bacterial small subunit ribosomal RNA", at positions 28 to 507 of the family's 1533-position model. The record is from RNAcentral.